UACGAAGGGGGCUAGCGUUGCUCGGAAUCACUGGGCGUAAAGGGUGCGUAGGCGGGUUUUUAAGUCAGGGGUGAAAUCCUGGAGCUCAACUCCAGAACUGCCUUUGAUACUGAAGAUCUUGAGUCCGGGAGAGGUGAGUGGAACUGCGAGUGUAGAGGUGAAAUUCGUAGAUAUUAGGAAGAACACCAGUGGCGAAGGCGGCUAUCUGGACGGUUUCUGACACUAAGACUCGAAAGCGUGGGGAGCAAACAGG
Molecule: ribosomal RNA, 253 nt
Filed under: uncultured bacterium
Lineage: Bacteria
Description: partial 16S ribosomal RNA
Rfam family: Bacterial small subunit ribosomal RNA
Source: RNAcentral